UCCCUCAUAUCUUAGAUGGUAAAGAAUCUGCCUGCAAUGCAGGGGACCCAGGUUCGAUCCCUGCACUGGGAA
This 72-nucleotide transfer RNA is filed under the name Ovis aries (sheep). It matches the Rfam family "tRNA". From Rfam's summary of the family: Transfer RNA (tRNA) molecules are approximately 80 nucleotides in length. Their secondary structure includes four short double-helical elements and three loops (D, anti-codon, and T loops). The record is from Rfam by way of RNAcentral. Lineage: Eukaryota; Metazoa; Chordata; Mammalia; Artiodactyla; Bovidae.